UACAGAGGUCUCGAGCGUUAGGCGGAAUCACUGGGCUUAAAGCGUGUGUAGGUGGAUGCCUAAGUACCUUGUGAAAUCCCACAGCUUAACUGUGGAACUGCUUGGUAUACUGGGUGUCUUGAGUCACUCAGGGGCGAGCGGAACAAAUGGUGGAGCGGUGAAAUGCGCAGAUAUCAUUUGGAACACCAAUGGUGAAAACAGCUCGCUGGGAGUGUGCUGACGCUGAGACACGAAAGCCAGGGGAGCGAACGGG
This 253-nucleotide ribosomal RNA is filed under the name uncultured bacterium. RNAcentral describes it as "partial 16S ribosomal RNA". It matches the Rfam family "Bacterial small subunit ribosomal RNA", at positions 524 to 776 of the family's 1533-position model. The record is from RNAcentral.